GCGGAGGAAAAGAAACCAACAGGGAUUCCCCUAGUAACGGCGAGUGAAGCGGGAACAGCUCAAAUUUGAAAUCUGGCCCUUGGGUCCGAGUUGUAAUUUGCAGAGGAUGCUUUUGGUGCGGUGCCUUCCGAGUUCCCUGGAACGGGACGCCUUAGAGGGUGAGAGCCCCGUACGGUUGGCCACCAAGCCUGUGUAAAGCUCCUUCGACGAGUCGAGUAGUUUGGGAAUGCUGCUCAAAAUGGGAGGUAUAUUUCUUCUAAAGCUAAAUACUGGCCAGAGACCGAUAGCGCACAAGUAGAGUGAUCGAAAGAUGAAAAGCACUUUGAAAAGAGGGUUAAAUAGCACGUGAAAUUGUUGAAAGGGAAGGAUUUAUGACCAGACUUUUUCUGGGGGGAUCAUCCGGUGUUCUCACCGGUGCACUUCCCCCAGUGGAGGCCAGCAUCGGUUCCUGUCGGGGGACAAAAGCCUCGGGAAUGUGGCUCCUCCGGGAGUGUUAUAGCCCGUUGCAUAAUACCCUGACGGGGACCGAGGUUCGCGCAUCUGCAAGGAUGCUGGCGUAAUGGUCAUCAAUCACCCGUCUUGAAACACGGACCAAGGAGUCGAACAUUUGUGCGAGUGUUUGGGUGUUAAACCCUCACGCGUAAUGAAAGUGAACGGAGGUGAGAGCCCCUCGGGGUGCAUCAUCGACCGAUCCUGAUGUCUUCGGAUGGAUUUGAGUAAGAGCAUAACUGUUCGGACCCGAAAGAUGGUGAACUAUGCGUGGAUAGGGUGAAGCCAGAGGAAACUCUGGUGGAGGCUCGCAGCGGUUCUGACGUGCAAAUCGAUCGUCAAAUCUGCGCAUGGGGGGCGAAAGACUAAUCGAACC
Molecule: ribosomal RNA, 865 nt
Filed under: Apiospora dendrobii
Lineage: Eukaryota; Fungi; Ascomycota; Sordariomycetes; Amphisphaeriales; Apiosporaceae
Description: Apiospora sp. XVM-2021a partial large subunit ribosomal RNA
Rfam family: Eukaryotic large subunit ribosomal RNA
Source: RNAcentral